UGGGGAAUAUUGCGCAAUGGACGAAAGUCUGACGCAGCGACGCCGCGUGUGGGAUGAAGCUCUUCGGGGUGUAAACCACUGUUGCCAGGGAAGAACCUCCCGAUUCGUCGGGACUGACGGUACCUGGUGAGGAAGCACCGGCUAACUCUGUGCCAGCAGCCGCGGUAAUACAGAGGGUGCGAGCGUUGUCCGGAAUCACUGGGCGUAAAGGGCGCGUAGGUGGCUGGGUAAGUGUGCGGUGAAAGCCCGGGGCUCAACCCCGGGUCUGCCGUGCAGACUGCUUGGCUCGAGCAUAGUAGAGGCGAGUGGAAUUCCGGGUGUAGCGGUGGAAUGCGUAGAGAUCCGGAAGAACACCGGUGGCGAAGGCGGCUCGCUGGGCUAUUGCUGACACUGAGGCGCGACAGCGUGGGGAGCAAACA
RNAcentral lists this ribosomal RNA (419 nucleotides) under uncultured Gemmatimonas sp. RNAcentral's name for it is "bacterial SSU rRNA". It matches the Rfam family "Bacterial small subunit ribosomal RNA", at positions 355 to 774 of the family's 1533-position model. Lineage: Bacteria; Pseudomonadati; Gemmatimonadota; Gemmatimonadia; Gemmatimonadales; Gemmatimonadaceae. The record is from RNAcentral.